This 395-nucleotide ribosomal RNA is filed under the name Anaplasma phagocytophilum. RNAcentral's name for it is "bacterial SSU rRNA". It matches the Rfam family "Bacterial small subunit ribosomal RNA", at positions 61 to 483 of the family's 1533-position model. The record is from RNAcentral. Lineage: Bacteria; Pseudomonadati; Pseudomonadota; Alphaproteobacteria; Rickettsiales; Anaplasmataceae.
GUCGAACGGAUUAUUCUUUAUAGCUUGCUAUGGGGACAAUUAGUGGCAGACGGGUGAGUAAUGCAUAGGAAUCUACCUAGUAGUAUAGGAUAGCCACUAGAAGUGGUGGGUAAUACUGUAUAAUCCCUGCGGGGGAAAGAUUUAUCGCUACAUGAUGAGCCUAUGUUAGAUUAGCUAGUUGGUGGGGUAAAGGCCUACCAAGGCAGUGAUCUAUAGCUGGUCUGAGAGGAUGAUCAGCCACACUGGAACUGAGACACGGUCCAGACUCCUACGGGAGGCAGCAGUGGGGAAUAUUGGACAAUGGGCGAAAGCCUGAUCCAGCUAUGCCGCGUGAGUGAGGAAGGCCUUAGGGUUGUAAAACUCUUUCAGUAGGGAAGAUAAUGACGGUACCUAUA